Phrynosoma platyrhinos (Desert horned lizard) is the source of this 72-nucleotide non-coding RNA. NCBI's taxonomy places the organism in Eukaryota, Metazoa, Chordata, Lepidosauria, Squamata, Phrynosomatidae. The record is from the annotation of a GenBank genome assembly.
GCCAGUGUAGUGUAGCUGUUUGAGAGCUGGACUAUGACUCUAGAGACCAGAGUUCGAAUCCCAGCUCAGCCA